AUGAACAUUGCACUCCUAUCCCGCUGGCUCUGGCGCAUUUCGCAGGGACAGGGAGGCCUCUGGCUCGACAUCAUCCGGAACAAGUACUUGCGUGGUCAGCCGCUUGCCUUCUGUCAGAGAUCUGGCGGCUCCCAGUUCUGGCAGUCGGUUGUCCAGCUUCUCCCGGUCCUCUGCAUUGGGACAUCCAUCUCGGUGGGAUCUGGGGCGGCGACUCUGUUCUGGUUUGACCGUUGGGCUGGCGACUCCCCCUUCGCGGCGCGCUACCCUUCCCUCUUCUCUAUUGCUGUGGAUCCUUCCAUUUCUAUCGAGAGGGCCCUUAUUGACUUAGGGCGCCUCGCUUUUCGGAGGCCGUUUGGCCCUCCGGAGUCCGCCGCCUAGCGUGAGUUACUUGAUUGUGUAGCGCUCCAUGAGCCGGCUAUGGAUAUGGGUCCGGACCUGGUAAGAUGGCGGCUCGAGCAAUCUGGCCAAUUCUCCACCAAAUCCCUCUACCAGGCCAUCGCCCCUUCCACCGCUACUCCUCCCCUCACGGCGGUUUGGUCCGUCUGCCUGCCCCUGAAGAUCUGGAUCUUCAUGUGGCAAUCGAUCCAUGGACGGAUCCCGUCUGGGGUGGAGGUCCACAAGAGGAAUGGACCCGGAACGGGCAUCUGCCCGCUUUGCGGUGUCCCAGAAGACUCGAAUCACAUCUUCUUCUCCUGUGUAUCCGCUCAGUUCGUUUGGAGCUGCUUUUGGGAAGUGGUGGGUGGCAACUGGUGCCACGCCAACUUCCCCGAUCUAUUUUCCGAACUCCAGUCCUCCCCCUGUCUUCUCGCCACAUUAGGUGGCUUGAGAUCGGAGCCCUCGCGUGGACCCUCUGGACGAUUCGCAAUAGACUCGUGA
RNAcentral lists this ribosomal RNA (876 nucleotides) under Triticum aestivum (bread wheat). RNAcentral describes it as "partial small subunit ribosomal RNA". Lineage: Eukaryota; Viridiplantae; Streptophyta; Magnoliopsida; Poales; Poaceae. The record is from RNAcentral.